AACAUGGGACACUUGAGGACAUGAAGGAAAGACCCUCCUCUGUCAGACUGAACACGGGACGUUUGAGGACUGGAAGCUAAGAAGCCCCUCCAGGAUCUGCUCUGGGAUCAGCCUCUCAUCAGUUGAAGCCCCGCCCCUUCAGGGCCAGGAUCUGCUCUGGGAUCAGCCUCUCAUUAGGUGAAGCCCCGCCCCUUCAGGACCAGGAUCUGCUCUGGGAUCAGCCUCUCAUCAGGUGAAGCCCUGCCCCUUCAGGACCAGGAUCUGCUCUGGGAUCAGCCUCUCCAGGUGAAGCCCUGCCCCUUCAGGACCAGGAUCUGCUCUGGGAUCAGCCUCUCCAGGUGCUGAGCUUCAGAGACAUCAAGGCUGUGUUUGUGGAAAUAAAGAGUGAACUGAA
This is a long non-coding RNA of Notothenia coriiceps (black rockcod), 394 nucleotides long. RefSeq lists it as uncharacterized. NCBI's taxonomy places the organism in Eukaryota, Metazoa, Chordata, Actinopteri, Perciformes, Nototheniidae. The record is from RefSeq and is a predicted model, not a curated record. The transcript has 4 exons.